GACGAACGCUGGCGGCGUGCUUAACACAUGCAAGUCGAACGGAAAGGCCCUGCUUUUGUGGGGUGCUCGAGUGGCGAACGGGUGAGUAACACGUGAGUAACCUGCCCUUGGCUUUGGGAUAACUUCAGGAAACUGGGGCUAAUACCGGAUAGGAGCUCCUGCUGCAUGGUGGGGGUUGGAAAGUUUCGGCGGUUGGGGGUGGACUCGCGGCUUAUCAGCUUGUUGGUGGGGUAGUGGCUUACCAAGGCUUUGACGGGUAGCCGGCCUGAGAGCGUGACCGGCCACAUUGGGCCUGAGAUACGGCGCAGACUCCUACGGGAGGCAGCAGUGGGGAAUAUUGCACAAUGGGGGGAAGCCUGAUGCAGCAACGCCGCGUGCGGGAUGACGGCCUUCGGGUUGUAAACCGCUUUCGCCUGUGACGAAGCGUGAGUGACGGUAAUGGGUAAAGAAGCACCGGCUAACUACGUG
Molecule: ribosomal RNA, 468 nt
Filed under: uncultured bacterium
Lineage: Bacteria
Description: partial 16S ribosomal RNA
Rfam family: Bacterial small subunit ribosomal RNA
Source: RNAcentral